UAUCUACAGUAGCUUCAGCGAAGCACAGAGGAACGCCUGCCAGGCUGCCAACCAGGCUGAACACCGUCACCACUGCUCGCCGGCACAGCUGCCGCAGUGUAGAAGAAUGCUCUGAAACACAGGGAGAAAAGGUGAAGAGUUCCAGUUGAGGGUUUGAAGAUGAUGUGUCUACUGCUGGCUGCCACUGGUGGUGAAGAGACGCCCAAAGGAUUAAUUAAUAGGUGGCCUGAGUAAGAGUACCUACCGAAGGGUUCCCGAAUGCAGCCCAACGAAGCCUGAUGAUGAUGAGUCCUUAACGAAGUUGCUUUUCUCAACAACUAUGAUAUUUCCGUUAACAUACUAAUGUUAUGAAAUUUUAUGUAAAAUAAAUAUUUUCUUCGAAGA
Plutella xylostella (diamondback moth) is the source of this 384-nucleotide long non-coding RNA. RefSeq lists it as uncharacterized. NCBI's taxonomy places the organism in Eukaryota, Metazoa, Arthropoda, Insecta, Lepidoptera, Plutellidae. The record is from RefSeq and is a predicted model, not a curated record.